This 463-nucleotide ribosomal RNA is filed under the name Euparkerella brasiliensis (Brazilian Guanabara frog). RNAcentral describes it as "partial 12S ribosomal RNA". It matches the Rfam family "Bacterial small subunit ribosomal RNA", at positions 7 to 796 of the family's 1533-position model. The record is from RNAcentral. Lineage: Eukaryota; Metazoa; Chordata; Amphibia; Anura; Craugastoridae.
GAUCUCACCCCCACUUAAAACACAAGGAUCUGGUCCCAACCCUUAAACCAAUUACUACUUAACUUACACAUGCAAGUCUCAGCGCACCAGUGAGAAAGCCCCUACCACAAAGUAGGGAGCGGGUAUCAGGCACAGUAAUUUGCCCACGACACCUAGCCCCGCCACACCCACAAGGGCAUGCAGCAGUGAUUAAUAUUAAGACAUAAACGCCAGUUUGACUUAGUUAUAGUAUUAAGAGCCGGCCAAUCCGGUGCCAGCCGCCGCGGUUACACCGCUGAGGCUCAAGUUGGUUUACUUCGGCGUAAAGCGUGGUUAAAGCUAUUAUCUCGAUUAAGACUAAACUCAAGCUAAACUGUUUAAAGUCUUGCUUCCAGGAAAAUCAUAAACGAAAGUUGUCUUAACUUCCUCUUCUUGAACCCACGACAACUAGGACACAAACUGGGAUUAGAUACCCCACUAUGCC